This 475-nucleotide ribosomal RNA is filed under the name Bacillus sp. (in: firmicutes). RNAcentral describes it as "bacterial SSU rRNA". It matches the Rfam family "Bacterial small subunit ribosomal RNA", at positions 402 to 867 of the family's 1533-position model. Lineage: Bacteria; Bacillati; Bacillota; Bacilli; Caryophanales; Bacillaceae. The record is from RNAcentral.
UGAGUGAUGAAGGUUUUCGGAUCGUAAAGCUCUGUUGUUAGGGAAGAACAAGUGCAAGAGUAACUGCUGUGCACCUUGACGGUACCUAACCAGAAAGCCACGGCUAACUACGUGCCAGCAGCCGCGGUAAUACGUAGGUGGCAAGCGUUGUCCGGAAUUAUUGGGCGUAAAGGGCUCGCAGGCGGUUUCUUAAGUCUGAUGUGAAAGCCCCCGGCUCAACCGGGGAGGGUCAUUGGAAACUGGGAAACUUGAGUGCAGAAGAGGAGAGUGGAAUUCCACGUGUAGCGGUGAAAUGCGUAGAGAUGUGGAGGAACACCAGUGGCGAAGGCGACUCUCUGGUCUGUAACUGACGCUGAGGAGCGAAAGCGUGGGGAGCGAACAGGAUUAGAUACCCUGGUAGUCCACGCCGUAAACGAUGAGUGCUAAGUGUUAGGGGGUUUCCGCCCCUUAGUGCUGCAGCUAACGCAUUAAGCAC